RNAcentral lists this long non-coding RNA (264 nucleotides) under Mytilus galloprovincialis (Mediterranean mussel). Lineage: Eukaryota; Metazoa; Mollusca; Bivalvia; Mytilida; Mytilidae. The record is from RNAcentral.
UGGGGGGGCUAGGAUGAAAAAUUUUGUCAUGCAUUUUAUUUUAGCUGUAAUUUCUGUCCUGCCUUUUUAUUUUUCACUCUGUUCGGUCCUGCCUUUUUUUUUUAGUUUAUCCUGACUUUUUUUUUACCUAAAUUGUCGUCCUGACUUUUUUUUUUUGCAAGUGUCUCAUCCUGCCUUUUUUUUUUACUCAAAACUCCUGUCCUGCCUAUUUUUUUCAAAUUUCAUCCUAGCCCCCCAUAAAAAUCAAAUGGUAGCUCCCUUACU